UUGGAGUGUGAUUGAUUGUGUGUGGACAGGUGUCUUUUAUACAGGUAAUCAUUUCAAACAAGUGUAAUUAAUACAGGUGACUGCAGAAUAGGAGAGCUUCUUAAAAGAUAACUAACAGGUCUGUGAGAGCCAGAAUUCUUGCUGGUUGGUAGGUGAUCAUAUUC
Long non-coding RNA from Thalassophryne amazonica, 164 nucleotides. RefSeq lists it as uncharacterized. The transcript is spliced from 3 exons. NCBI's taxonomy places the organism in Eukaryota, Metazoa, Chordata, Actinopteri, Batrachoidiformes, Batrachoididae. The record is from RefSeq and is a predicted model, not a curated record.